Ribosomal RNA from Microtus ochrogaster (prairie vole), 41 nucleotides. Lineage: Eukaryota; Metazoa; Chordata; Mammalia; Rodentia; Cricetidae. The record is from Ensembl.
CUGAACGUGCCCGAUCUCGUCUGAUCUCAGAAGCUAAGCAG